UAAACUGUAAAAUAUAAAUAAUAAAUUUAUAUAAUAUAUAAAUAAAAUAUAAAUUAAUCUGUUAAUAUAUUAUUUUACAUACAUUUUCAUAUUAAUCCAAUACGAUAAAUAUAUGAUAAGAAAUGUAUGUGAUACAAUUGACGGGUCAAAAAAUAAAAAUUACUAAUAUAUCUUAUAAACUUAUCGUGUUUAGAAAUAUCAUAUUUAAAACUAUUUAAUAAGGAUAAAUGUUAAAAUACCUACCGCCAUUUAUACAAAGCAAAUAUUUAUUUAUACAAAAAAAAACACCCGAAUAGAUAUGUAAGUCAUGCACUAGUUAAUUUUAAAAAAUUAGACUAUGGCCGUUUGACGUAAAAAAAAAAAAUAAUUAAACUAUUAGAAGCUUGAUGACUAAUCAAUUCUUCCAUCUCUCCUCGUUUGCCCUUAACUUUUAUUUCAUUUCUUUAUGUUAGUUCAUGAGAUACUCAUAAAAAUCCAGCCAAUGGACAUGCCGUUAGAGUAUUCUCCUCCAUUUAUCUUAUUUUUACCAGACUCUUUAACUUCACC
This 546-nucleotide long non-coding RNA is filed under the name Brassica rapa (field mustard). RNAcentral describes it as "long non-coding RNA (BRAP_LNC005030)". The record is from RNAcentral. Lineage: Eukaryota; Viridiplantae; Streptophyta; Magnoliopsida; Brassicales; Brassicaceae.